AGGCAGCAGUGGGGAAUAUUGCGCAAUGGGCGAAAGCCUGACGCAGCUACGCCGCGUGGGUGAUGAAGGCCUUCGGGUUGUAAAGCUCUGUCGGGAGGGACGAAGAUCUGACGGUACCUCCCAAGAAAGCACCGGCUAACUCCGUGCCAGCAGCCGCGGUAAUACGGAGGGUGCAAGCGUUGCUCGGAAUCAUUGGGCGUAAAGCGUACGCAGGCGGCUCGUUAAGUCGGGUGUGAAAUCCCGGGGCUCAACCCCGGAAUUGCGCCCGAGACUGGCGGGCUUGAGUGCGGGAGAGGGAAGCGGAAUUCCUGGUGUAGAGGUGAAAUUCGUAGAUAUCAGGAGGAACACCGGUGGCGAAAGCGGCUUCCUGGCCCGACACUGACGCUCAUGUACGAAAGCGUGGGGAGCAAACAGGAUUAGAUACCCUGGUAG
This 432-nucleotide ribosomal RNA is filed under the name uncultured bacterium. Its description in RNAcentral is "bacterial SSU rRNA". It matches the Rfam family "Bacterial small subunit ribosomal RNA", at positions 346 to 793 of the family's 1533-position model. The record is from RNAcentral.